This 1561-nucleotide ribosomal RNA is filed under the name Haemophilus sp. SZY H51. Its description in RNAcentral is "partial 23S ribosomal RNA". It matches the Rfam family "Bacterial large subunit ribosomal RNA", at positions 697 to 2241 of the family's 2925-position model. The record is from RNAcentral. Lineage: Bacteria; Pseudomonadati; Pseudomonadota; Gammaproteobacteria; Pasteurellales; Pasteurellaceae.
UAGUUGCAAGGUAUAGACCCGAAACCCGGUGAUCUAGCCAUGGGCAGGUUGAAGGUUGGGUAACACUAACUGGAGGACCGAACCGACUAAUGUUGAAAAAUUAGCGGAUGACUUGUGGCUGGGGGUGAAAGGCCAAUCAAACCGGGAGAUAGCUGGUUCUCCCCGAAAUCUAUUUAGGUAGAGCCUUGAGCGGACACCUUCGGGGGUAGAGCACUGUUUCGGCUAGGGGUCCAUCCCGGAUUACCAACCCGAUGCAAACUACGAAUACCGAAGAGUGAUACUCAGGAGACACACGGCGGGUGCUAACGUCCGUCGUGGAGAGGGAAACAACCCAGACCGCCAGCUAAGGUCCCAAAGUCUAUAUUAAGUGGGAAACGAAGUGGGAAGGCUUAGACAGCUAGGAUGUUGGCUUAGAAGCAGCCAUCAUUUAAAGAAAGCGUAAUAGCUCACUAGUCGAGUCGGCCUGCGCGGAAGAUGUAACGGGGCUCAAAUAUAGCACCGAAGCUGCGGCAUCAGUAGCAAUACUGUUGGGUAGGGGAGCGUUGUGUAAGCGGAUGAAGGUGUGUUGAGAAGCAUGCUGGACGUAUCACAAGUGCGAAUGCUGACAUAAGUAACGAUAAAACGGGUGAAAAACCCGUUCGCCGGAAGACCAAGGGUUCCUGUCCAACGUUAAUCGGGGCAGGGUGAGUCGGCCCCUAAGGCGAGGCUGAAAAGCGUAGUCGAUGGGAAACAGGUUAAUAUUCCUGUACUUGGUAAAGCUGCGAUGUGGGGACGGAGCAGGUUAGGUUAUCGCACUGUUGGAUAUGUGCGUUUAAGUUGGUAGGUGGGAAGUUUAGGCAAAUCCGAACUUCCUUAACACUGAGAGAUGAUGACGAGGCUCUACGGAGCUGAAGUAACCGAUACCACACUUCCAGGAAAAGCCACUAAGCGACAGGCUUUACUAAACCGUACUGAAAACCGACACAGGUGGUCAGGUAGAGAAUACUCAGGCGCUUGAGAGAACUCGGGUGAAGGAACUAGGCAAAAUAGCACCGUAACUUCGGGAGAAGGUGCGCCGGCGUAGAUUGUAGUCCCUCGCGGGCGAAGGUUGAACCGGUCGAAGAUACCAGCUGGCUGCAACUGUUUAUUAAAAACACAGCACUCUGCAAACACGAAAGUGGACGUAUAGGGUGUGAUGCCUGCCCGGUGCUGGAAGGUUAAUUGAUGGUGUAAUCGAAAGAGAAGCUCCUGAUCGAAGCCCCAGUAAACGGCGGCCGUAACUAUAACGGUCCUAAGGUAGCGAAAUUCCUUGUCGGGUAAGUUCCGACCUGCACGAAUGGCAUAAUGAUGGCCAGGCUGUCUCCACCCGAGACUCAGUGAAAUUGAAAUCGCCGUGAAGAUGCGGUGUACCCGCGGCUAGACGGAAAGACCCCGUGAACCUUUACUAUAGCUUGACACUGAACAUUGAAUUUUGAUGUGUAGGAUAGGUGGGAGACUUAGAAGUAGUCACGCCAGUGAUUAUGGAGUCGACCUUGAAAUACCACCCUUUAACGUUUGAUGUUCUAACGAAGAUUGCGAAACG